RNAcentral lists this ribosomal RNA (497 nucleotides) under uncultured bacterium. RNAcentral's name for it is "partial 16S ribosomal RNA". It matches the Rfam family "Bacterial small subunit ribosomal RNA", at positions 28 to 507 of the family's 1533-position model. The record is from RNAcentral.
GAUGAACGCUGGCGGCGUGCCUAAUACAUGCAAGUCGAACGGAAAGACGAGGAGCUUGUUCCUCGGUCGUUAGCGGAGGAGGGGUGAGUAACACGUGUAAAACCCCCCUAUCAGUCGGGGAUAACCACGGGACACGGGAGAAUACCGCGGAUAAGAUCUUGAUGCGCAGGGGGGAAUGGAAAGAGACGGCUGUGGGGGAUCGAAUAGAGGGUUCCGCGCCGCAUUGGCUGGUAGGUGAGGUAAAGGCCUACCACGGCAACGAUGCGUAUGCGACGUGAGUGGGUGAUCGGCCACACGGGAGGUGGAACACGGACCAGACCCCUGCGGGAGGGAGCAGUAGCGAACCGUCCGCAAUGGGCGAAAGCCUGGCGGAGCAACCCCGAGUGAGUGAUGAAGGUCUUGGGAUCGUAAAACCCUCUUAUUAGUUAAGAACAAAUGUGUAAGUAACUAUGCAGGUCUUGACGGUACCUAAUCAGAAAGCCACGGCUAACUACGUG